GACGAACGCUGGCGGCGUGCUUAACACAUGCAAGUCGAACGAAGAGCGAUGGAAGCUUGCUUCUAUCAAUCUUAGUGGCGCACGGGUGAGUAACGCGUAAUCAACCUGCCCUUCAGAGGGGGACAACAGUUGGAAACGACUGCUAAUACCGCAUACGAUCUAAUCUCGGCAUCGAGGAUAGAUGAAAGGUGGCCUCUACAUGUAAGCUAUCACUGAAGGAGGGGAUUGCGUCUGAUUAGCUAGUUGGAGGGGUAACGGCCCCCCAAGGCGAUGAUCAGUAGCCGGUCUGAGAGGAUGAACGGCCACAUUGGGACUGAGACACGGCCCAGACUCCUACGGGAGGCAGCAGUGGGGAAUCUUCCGCAAUGGACGAAAGUCUGACGGAGCAACGCCGCGUGAGUGAUGACGGCCUUCGGGUUGUAAAGCUCUGUUAAUCGGGACGAAAGGCCUUCUUGCGAAUAGUGAGAAGGAUUGACGGUACCGGAAUAGAAAGCCACGGCUAACUACGUG
Molecule: ribosomal RNA, 510 nt
Filed under: uncultured bacterium
Lineage: Bacteria
Description: partial 16S ribosomal RNA
Rfam family: Bacterial small subunit ribosomal RNA
Source: RNAcentral